AUGUCGGGAGGUGGCCGGCCGCAGGCCGCGCAGCAGAUCGUGCAAUCGGUGCAGAAGUGCGUUCCGUUGGCCCCGGAGCGUCCGCCCUUCGCCGUCCCCGCCGAAUACCACCGGUUCCCCUUGCCGCCGUCCUCCUCCGCCCCGGCAGCAGCAUCCCGGGGCAGCGCUGGCGGCGAUGUCGAGGAGGGGAUCGUCAUCAGAACGCCCCUAAAAAGAAAAGCUCCAUGUGGAGAAAGUGAUGCCAUUGAGUCAACUGAAUGGAUGAUAACCAGCCCUGGGUUUACUGAAGGAGUUAGCAGUCCACAUAUGACCCCUAUCUCUGGAAAAGCUGCUAGGACAUACAAAUCAAAGGCUAAAGGCAGCAAAGAUGGACUGCAGACCCCUAUAUCAAAUGCUGGUUCACCUGGUACUCCACUCACUCCUGGUUCUUCCCGCGCUGAACAUUCAUUAGGGGAAUUGACUAAAAAGUUCAUCAGUUUGCUCAAGCAGGCUGAAGAUGGCAUUUUAGAUUUGAAUAAUGUUGCAGAGAUAUUAGUGGUUAAAAAAAGACGCAUAUACGACAUUACAAAUGUCCUUGAAGGAAUUGGGCUGUUAGAAAAGAAGCUUAAGAACAGAAUCCGUUGGAGGGGUUUGGAUGACUCAGGAGCUAACUUAGACAAUGAAAUUUCAGUUUUGGAGACAGAACUUGAAAAUCUUAAACUCCAAGAAAAAGCAUUGGAUAAUCGUAUAAGUGAAAUGCAUGAGAAGGUGAGGGAGUUAACUGAAGAGGAGAACAAUCAGAGGUGGCUAUACCUUACCGAGGAUGACAUCAAGGGAUUGCCCUGCUUUCAGAAUGAAACACUAAUCGCGAUAAAAGCACCUCAUGGCACUACACUGGAAGUACCAGAUCCUGAUGAGGCUGGUGAUUAUAUCCAAAGGAGAUACACAAUCGUAAUAAGGAGUACAAUGGGUUCCAUCGAUCUUUACCUGGUUAGUAAAUUUGAGGAAAACAUGGAAGAGCUGGUUGGUGUCGCAACGCCUCCAAGGCACGCAAAUGUGGCAGAACCUGCCUCCACAGACGGAUUCAUAGCAACAGAAGCUGGACAAAGCAGCAGAUCAAAGGACAAGUUGCCGAAUAUUCAGCAUAUCCACAGAACUCCAGAUCUAAAUGCUCAAGUUGGGGGGAUGGCAAAGAUAACUCCAGAAUUUGAUGUUGAUGCUGACUACUACCUUCUCACUGAUGGUGAUGCGAGCAGCAUUACAGAUAUGUGGAGAACAGCACCAGAAGUGCAGUGGGAUCAGUUCUUAGCUGAAGAGGCAACUGCCCCGCGCACACCCCAGCAACACCCAGCAGUUGUCGGUAAAUCCACAGCUGUAGGCCCAACCUGUGGAUAG
RNAcentral lists this ribosomal RNA (1374 nucleotides) under Triticum aestivum (bread wheat). RNAcentral's name for it is "partial small subunit ribosomal RNA". Lineage: Eukaryota; Viridiplantae; Streptophyta; Magnoliopsida; Poales; Poaceae. The record is from RNAcentral.